Molecule: ribosomal RNA, 232 nt
Filed under: uncultured bacterium
Lineage: Bacteria
Description: partial 16S ribosomal RNA
Rfam family: Bacterial small subunit ribosomal RNA
Source: RNAcentral
CAGACGGGUGAGUAAUGUCUGGGAAACUGCCUGAUGGAGGGGGAUAACUACUGGAAACGGUAGCUAAUACCGCAUAACGUCGCAAGACCAAAGAGGGGGACCUUCGGGCCUCUUGCCAUCGGAUGUGCCCAGAUGGGAUUAGCUAGUAGGUGGGGUAACGGCUCACCUAGGCGACGAUCCCUAGCUGGUCUGAGAGGAUGACCAGCCACACUGGAACUGAGACACGGUCCAG